UGCGUAGGUGGUGGGGUAAGUCGGAUGUGAAAGCUCGGAGCUCAACUCCGAAAUGGCAUUGGAAACUACCCUGCUGGAGGUUUGGAGGGGGGGACGUGGAAUACUUGGUGUAGCAGUGAAAUGCGUAGAUAUCAAGUGGAACACCAGUGGCGAAGGCGAGUCCCUGGACAAAACCUGACACUGAGGCACGAAAGCUAGGGGAGCAAACA
RNAcentral lists this ribosomal RNA (209 nucleotides) under uncultured bacterium. Its description in RNAcentral is "partial 16S ribosomal RNA". It matches the Rfam family "Bacterial small subunit ribosomal RNA", at positions 568 to 774 of the family's 1533-position model. The record is from RNAcentral.